GACGAACGCUGGCGGCGUGCCUAAUACAUGCAAGUCGAACGAACUCUGGUAUUGAUUGGUGCUUGCAUCAUGAUUUACAUUUGAGUGAGUGGCGAACUGGUGAGUAACACGUGGGAAACCUGCCCAGAAGCGGGGGAUAACACCUGGAAACAGAUGCUAAUACCGCAUAACAACUUGGACCGCAUGGUCCGAGUUUGAAAGAUGGCUUCGGCUAUCACUUUUGGAUGGUCCCGCGGCGUAUUAGCUAGAUGGUGGGGUAACGGCUCACCAUGGCAAUGAUACGUAGCCGACCUGAGAGGGUAAUCGGCCACAUUGGGACUGAGACACGGCCCAAACUCCUACGGGAGGCAGCAGUAGGGAAUCUUCCACAAUGGACGAAAGUCUGAUGGAGCAACGCCGCGUGAGUGAAGAAGGGUUUCGGCUCGUAAAACUCUGUUGUUAAAGAAGAACAUAUCUGAGAGUAACUGUUCAGGUAUUGACGGUAUUUAACCAGAAAGCCACGGCUAACUACGUGCCAGCAGCCGCGGUAAUACGUAGGUGGCAAGCGUUGUCCGGAUUUAUUGGGCGUAAAGCGAGCGCAGGCGGUUUUUUAAGUCUGAUGUGAAAGCCUUCGGCUCAACCGAAGAAGUGCAUCGGAAACUGGGAAACUUGAGUGCAGAAGAGGACAGUGGAACUCCAUGUGUAGCAGUGAAAUGCGUAGAUAUAUGGAAGAACACCAGUGGCGAAGGCGGCUGUCUGGUCUGUAACUGACGCUGAGGCUCGAAAGUAUGGGUAGCAAACAGGAUUAGAUACCCUGGUAGUCCAUACCGUAAACGAUGAAUGCUAAGUGUUGGAGGGUUUCCGCCCUUCAGUGCUGCAGCUAACGCAUUAAGCAUUCCGCCUGGGGAGUACGGCCGCAAGGCUGAAACUCAAAGGAAUUGACGGGGGCCCGCACAAGCGGUGGAGCAUGUGGUUUAAUUCGAAGCUACGCGAAGAACCUUACCAGGUCUUGACAUACUAUGCAAAUCUAAGAGAUUAGACGUUCCCUUCGGGGACAUGGAUACAGGUGGUGCAUGGUUGUCGUCAGCUCGUGUCGUGAGAUGUUGGGUUAAGUCCCGCAAUGAGCGCAACCCUUAUUAUCAGUUGCCAGCAUUAAGUUGGGCACUCUGGUGAGACUGCCGGUGACAAACCGGAGGAAGGUGGGGAUGACGUCAAAUCAUCAUGCCCCUUAUGACCUGGGCUACACACGUGCUACAAUGGAUGGUACAACGAGUUGCGAACUCGCGAGAGUAAGCUAAUCUCUUAAAGCCAUUCUCAGUUCGGAUUGUAGGCUGCAACUCGCCUACAUGAAGUCGGAAUCGCUAGUAAUCGCGGAUCAGCAUGCCGCGGUGAAUACGUUCCCGGGCCUUGUACACACCGCCCGUCACACCAUGAGAGUUCGUAACACCCAAAGUCGGUGGGGUAACCUUUUAGGAACCAGCCGCCUAAGGUGGGACAGAUGAUUAGGGUG
Molecule: ribosomal RNA, 1489 nt
Filed under: Lactiplantibacillus plantarum
Lineage: Bacteria; Bacillati; Bacillota; Bacilli; Lactobacillales; Lactobacillaceae
Description: bacterial SSU rRNA
Rfam family: Bacterial small subunit ribosomal RNA
Source: RNAcentral